ACGCACGCUGGCGGCGUGCUUCACACAUGCAAGUCGCACGGAAAGGCCCUGCUUUUGUGGGGUGCUCGAGUGGCGAACGGGUGAGUAACACGUGAGUAACCUGCCCUUGACUUUGGGAUAACUUCAGGAAACUGGGGCUAAUACCGGAUAGGAGCUCCUGCUGCAUGGUGGGGGUUGGAAAGUUUCGGCGGUUGGGGAUGGACUCGCGGCUUAUCAGCUUGUUGGUGGGGUAGUGGCUUACCAAGGCUUUGACGGGUAGCCGGCCUGAGAGGGUGACCGGCCACAUUGGGACUGAGAUACGGCCCAGACUCCUACGGGAGGCAGCAGUGGGGAAUAUUGCACAAUGGGUGGAAGCCUGAUGCAGCAACGCCGCGUGCGGGAUGACGGCCUUCGGGUUGUAAACCGCUUUCGCCUGUGACGAAGCGUGAGUGACGGUAAUGGGUAAAGAAGCACCGGCUAACUACGUG
RNAcentral lists this ribosomal RNA (467 nucleotides) under uncultured bacterium. RNAcentral's name for it is "partial 16S ribosomal RNA". It matches the Rfam family "Bacterial small subunit ribosomal RNA", at positions 29 to 507 of the family's 1533-position model. The record is from RNAcentral.